GAUGAACGCUGGCGGCGUGCCUAAUACAUGCAAGUCGAGCGAACGGACGAGAAGCUUGCUUCUCUGAUGUUAGCGGCGGACGGGUGAGUAACACGUGGAUAACCUACCUAUAAGACUGGGAUAACCUCGGGAAACCGGAGCUAAUACCGGAGAAUAUUUUGAACCGCAUGGUUCAAAAGUGAAAGACGGUCUUGCUGUCACUUAUAGAUGGAUCCGCGCUGCAUUAGCUAGUUGGUAAGGUAACGGCUUACCAAGGCAACGAUGCAUAGCCGACCUGAGAGGGUGAUCGGCCACACUGGAACUGAGACACGGUCCAUACUCCUACGGGAGGCAGCAGUAGGGAAUCUUCCGCAAUGGGCGAAAGCCUGACGGAGCAACGCCGCGUGAGUGAUGAAGGUCUUCGGAUCGUAAAACUCUGUUAUUAGGGAAGAACAUAUGUGUAAGUAACUGUGCACAUCUUGACGGUACCUAAUCAGAAAGCCACGGCUAACUACGUG
This 497-nucleotide ribosomal RNA is filed under the name uncultured bacterium. RNAcentral's name for it is "partial 16S ribosomal RNA". It matches the Rfam family "Bacterial small subunit ribosomal RNA", at positions 28 to 507 of the family's 1533-position model. The record is from RNAcentral.